This 479-nucleotide ribosomal RNA is filed under the name uncultured bacterium. RNAcentral's name for it is "bacterial SSU rRNA". It matches the Rfam family "Bacterial small subunit ribosomal RNA", at positions 28 to 507 of the family's 1533-position model. The record is from RNAcentral.
GAUGAACGCUAGCGGCAGGCCUAACACAUGCAAGUCGAGGGGGUAGAGUUCUUCGGGACUUGAGACCGGCGCACGGGUGCGUAACGCGUAUGCAAUCUACCUUAUACAGGGGAAUAGCCCAGAGAAAUUUGGAUUAAUGCCCCAUAGUGUUAUCGAAUCGCAUGGUUUGAUAACUAAAGUUCCAACGGUAUAAGAUGAGCAUGCGUCCCAUUAGUUAGUUGGUAAGGUAACGGCUUACCAAGACAAUGAUGGGUAGGGGUCCUGAGAGGGAGAUCCCCCACACUGGUACUGAGACACGGACCAGACUCCUACGGGAGGCAGCAGUGAGGAAUAUUGGUCAAUGGGCGCAAGCCUGAACCAGCCAUGCCGCGUGCAGGAAGACGGUCCUAUGGAUUGUAAACUGCUUUUAUACAGGAAGAAACCCUCCCACGUGUGGGAGCUUGACGGUACUGUAGGAAUAAGGAUCGGCUAACUCCGUG